This 29-nucleotide non-coding RNA is filed under the name Homo sapiens (human). Lineage: Eukaryota; Metazoa; Chordata; Mammalia; Primates; Hominidae. The record is from RNAcentral.
UCUGCGGGUACAGCGAUGAACAGGGCAGA